Motacilla alba alba is the source of this 6320-nucleotide RNA transcript. It is a transcript of the gene named arginine and glutamate rich 1, with no coding region annotated. Lineage: Eukaryota; Metazoa; Chordata; Aves; Passeriformes; Motacillidae. The transcript is spliced from 4 exons. The record is from RefSeq and is a predicted model, not a curated record.
CCAAGGAGAAAACUCAGUUUAUGAUAAAUAUUUUAAAAACUCAUUUAUAGUUAUAAGUGACUGUAAAAUAAUUAAUUCUACCCCUUCCUCUCUGCUACAUUUCAGGUCAAGUUUAGUACAUCCACUAUGAAACGUAGUACUAAAAAAAUUAUGAUCCAUUUUUCAUCCAGAAGCUGAUGCACCGUGUGAAUUUCAAAGCUCCAGUACCCACUUGCAGACAAGUUGCUGCAGGAAAGGUGCCAGCUAGAAACUCACCUACCCGAUCAGGGGCUAAAAGGUCUGAUUAUGAACUUCCUUAGUUACCUGUUGCAUAAGCUUCCCCCGGGCUAGGGACAAACAAGAGUGCCCAGGGCCUGUGGAACUGGAAUUCCUGCCGUGCAGGUUUCACCGUGUCCAUUACUCUGCUGUUACUUGCACAGUGACCCAUCGGAAAAAUGCCUCCCUUUGAUUUAUUUUUGGUACUAGAUAGACUGAACUUCAAAAUAAGAAAGUCUUCCUUCAAGAAAAAGAAGGCAAGGCAACCAAAUGAUUAGAAGAAAAGACUUUUUAGUGAACUGGGAUAAAAACAUCCUACACAGAUGCCUACAGAACCUCUGAGCUCAUACUCUCUGCCUGACCUGGACAUCACUGUGUUCAUACUCUCCUAUGCAUACACAUCUGUAGCUAACAAUGGACAAUAAUGUCUACAGAUAAAUACAUUUAAAUGCGACCAAGACAGCCCUUCCCUGUGCCACACCGAAACCACCAGGAAACAGACCCCUGGCACCCUGAGCAUCUCAUCGGCCAGACCGACACAGCUGGACUGACAUCCCCUCAGCUGGGUCGACGCUGGAACCAGGACUGACGACGUCUUUUUCAUCUUUCUUUCUUUAAUUCAUUUUCCCCUCUUUAAUUCUUCUCUUCCCUUUCACCCUGCUCCUUUAUCCAAAACCCACUGCCGUGUCCUUGUACAGUGGGUCAGGGACUAACAUACUAAUUUCUUUGCAAGUGUGUAAUUCACUGAUAAAACUUUCUGGUUGUUUGCAACCCCUCGGACUCUUGUUGUUCCUUUCGACCAUUGAUCAUUUACGACUCCCAGGCGAUUCUUUCCCUUUAAGGGUGGGUCUUCACAGUGGUACAACAGAGGAUUCAAAAACUCAUUUUCACAAUUUAGCGGGGGCUCUAAGUGUUUCUCGCAACUUCCUUCACCUGCAGUGAUAAUUCUCUCUGUUACCCGUAUCAAAACGAAAUAAAAAUAAGAUAAUCAAUGUCUGAGAGAACUUUCAAUCAAAGGAAACACAGAAACUCUCUCUGAGGCGACCCCUCGGCCGGCGCGCUCUCCGCCACCGCCGCCGAGGGGCCCGCUCCGAGCGCCGCUCGCCAUUGGCUGCCGAAUAGUGCCGAGUGCUCUCGUGCUCCUCCGGCGCGGCGCCGGAGGCUGCGGGGGGGGAGCGAACGGCUCGAGCACAGCGCGGUGCAUUGUGGGGCGGGAGAGGAGAGUCACUGCUCAGCCAGGGCCGCCAUCUUGGCUGCGUCCGGACUCGCUCCCGCUCCCGGGGCCUGCUCCUUUUCCUCGCAGCGCAAAGCGGUGGAAAGGGAGAAGACGAAGGGCCCGCCAGGGCGGUGCUGAUGCGCGCAGAGCCUCCUCGCACCUCUCUCGGGCGCCGCUAGCAAAGGGGGCGGGGGUGGUCGAGCGGUCACCGGCGCGGCCUCUUCUCUCCUCUGCCGGGAUGGGUCGGUCCCGCAGCAGGAGCUCGUCCCGCUCCAAGCACACCAAGAGCUCCAAGCACAACAAGAAGAACCGGAGCCGAUCGCGGUCCCGAUCCCGAGAAAAGGAGCGGGCAAGGAAGCGCUCCAAGUCCCGGGAGAGCAAGCGGAACCGGCGCCGGGAGUCCCGCUCCCGCUCGCGCUCUAAUACGGCCCCUUCCUCCCGGCGCGACCGGGACCGGGACCGCGACCGCGCCUCCUCCCCCCCCGACCGUAUCGACAUCUUCGGGCGCACGGUGAGCAAGCGCAGCAGCCUGGAUGAGAAACAGAAGCGGGAGGAGGAGGAGAAAAAAGCGGAGUUCGAGCGGCAGCGGAAAAUUCGUCAACAAGAAAUUGAAGAGAAACUCAUAGAGGAAGAAACUGCUCGAAGGGUGGAAGAACUUGUAGCUAAACGCGUAGAAGAAGAGUUGGAGAAAAGAAAGGAUGAGAUUGAGCGAGAGGUUCUCCGCAGGGUGGAGGAGGCUAAGCGCAUCAUGGAAAAACAGUUGCUCGAAGAACUCGAGCGACAGCGACAAGCUGAACUUGCAGCACAAAAAGCCAGAGAGGUAACGCUCGGUCGUUUGGAAAGUAGAGACAGUCCAUGGCAAAACUUUCAGUGUCGGUUUGUGCCUCCUGUUCGGUUCACAAAGAGAUGGAAUACAGCAAAUCUAAUUCCCUUCUCAUAUAAACUUGCAUUGCUGCGAAACUUAAUUUCUAGCCUAUUCAGAGGAGCUCACUGAUAUUUAAACAGUUACUCUCCUAAAACCUGAACAAGGAUACUUGAUUCUUAAUGGAACUGACCUACAUAUAUUUCAGAAUUGUUUGAAACUUUUGCCAUGGCUGCAGGAUUUAUCAGCAGUCCUUUCAUUUUGGGGAAGGGUAUUAAAAAAUAUGUAAUUAUGUAUCCUUCAUUUGUUUCAUUUUGUUUACCUAGACUGUAAGAGGCUUUUGCCUUCAGCCAGGCAAAAAGCAGGGUCCAGCAGUGAGCUGCAGUACCUGUCUUUUAACAAAUAGGUUUCCUAUUCUUCAUUUAAAAUGAACAUUUUCCUUGAGCAUACAUUGGACUAAUUCUGGGACUUCGAGCAUAAGCCCAUCCACGUCUUCACGAAGGAUCUCUGUCCAAAUCAUUAUAUCCAUUUUUAAUAACUACUAACAACUCCUUUUUUUCUCCCUAGAAGUUAUAAAAGAGCAGGUUGCCCUUGUCUGAAGUCAAGCUGAACGUGUGACUUGGGUUUUUGGGGCCUUUUUUUGUUGUUUUGUUUUAUUUUUUUAAUCAGCAGCUGGAGCAGAAGCUGAAAAUGUCUUUCUGUGAGACAGUAAUUUGCUACUAAAGGCUUUGAUGCCUGCCUGCACCAAUCAUUCCAGGAUCCAGAAAUUUCAAGACAAACUUCGAACCAUAGAGGAAAUUUGUGCUAAAUAGUCAUAAGUGUUAAAUGCUUUUUUCACUCUCUAUGUCCUACACAGUUUGUCUUAAAUUAAUAUUUUGAUUGGCUUGUGAAAGGAGAGACAGUAGCAUUGCAACUUUCCCCUUCAUACUAGAUGUGACUUGUCAGUCACAUAGUAUCAAAUCAAAUGGAAACAAAUGGAAUGCUGAGUUAUAAUAAAUACUAAAGAGAAUAAAUAAAUUAUACUUUCUUGCAAAUUCAGACUUUAAUAUCAGAGUUUAAGUUGAAUUUACGUGUUUGUAGUCAGCAAAUUCUUCAUAUGUAGAGGUUUUCAUUUGAUCAGAUGGAUGACUUUUUUUUUUAAAAAAAAGUAUUUUUGGUAUCGUCGUCAUGUGGAGAAGUCCCACCAGUUCCUUGUAAUGCAGAAUGAACCUCCAUGCCUGGAGUGAAGUGUGCUAGCUAGUAGCUGGUUACUAGUCAUAGUAAGAAGUUUUCAUAUGCUUGCUUUGUUCGUAUUAACUUUUUUUUCUUACACAGACACAAACCUCUGGCUAACUUUAAAUCCUCCAAAUAUAAAAAUAAUUUGGAUAUAUAUUAUGUGAACUGAAACACUUCAAAAUUUUUCACGCAGUCUUCAUAUUUGAGUUGCAUAACAGAGUUCCAUAAAAUUCACCAAGAAAACAACAAUUACAAGGCUUUAUUUCCUGAUCUUGCCUUCCCUGGACUCCUGAAUUCCAAGUUCAUACUGCAGACAGUUUCAGCUGUCUUAAAAUUGUCAAAAUACUGAAUGUUAAGUCCAUUCUCCCCAUGAAAGAAGCCCAUAGCUCCAUGAAGUAUGGAUUACCAUUUGUAUUUUUCACUAACAGUAAAUGUAUUUUUCUUAUUAACUGUUUGCCUUAGGAAUGAUUUACAUAUUUUUGUUCCUUCUUACCAUAAACAUCUGCAUUCCUCAGCUCAGCCUUCCUUGUAUGUUGUUUCUUUAUAAAUGGUUGAGCUGCUGAUGCAGGUAUUGCCAAGCUAACAGUACAAAUCAUUUUAAAGAGGAAGCUGGCGCGUAUGGCAGCCGAGGAGCACACUCUGCAGGACACUGGACAAGACAGAAGAAGAGCGUGCAAAGCGUGAGGAACUAGAGCGAAUACUAGAAGAGAAUAAUCGAAAAAUUGCAGAAGCACAAGCUAAACUGGCUGAAGAACAAUUGAAAAUUGUUGAAGAACAAAGAAAGAUUCAUGAGGAGAGGAUGAAACUAGAACAAGAGAGACAGCGUCAGCAAAAGGAAGAGCAAAAAAUUAUCCUGGGCAAAGGAAAGUCUAGGCCAAAACUGUCCUUCUCCCUAAAAAGCCAGGAUUAAAUUUCAACUCUGAACUCUUAAAAGAAAAAAAGAAACAGACAAAAAACAACAAAAAAGGAAAACAAACAAAAACUUUGUAUGGUAGCUUCAUGUUGAAGUGUUUUUUGUUUUUUUUUUCUUUCUCUCAAAUUUUUUUUGUCUUUUUUGAAAGUUGGAAAGUUAGCUUGUUCUAAUAGGGGCUGUGCUCUGCAAUUCUUAUUUUUUUUAAAUUUCCAUUAAGUUAAACCCUUAUCAGAUCAUCGUUGCCUUUUAGAGGAUAAUCUGUUUUCAUCAAUUUUGUUUCUGUAUUGGUGGUCUGAAGCAACUCAUGUCACUUUAUGAACUGUGGAUGAUCUGAUAAGGUUUUACUGACCUACUCAUCAGAGUUUGACUCUGAUAAUUGACAGAACUUUUUACUGGGUAUUGCUGACUUUUAAUGUUUUUAUUUUAAAGUCAGUAAAUACAUGAGUAAAUUGCCAUAGUAUUACUGGACCUCUGUGGUUUAUUGUUAAAUCAGUGUCCUAUGAUACUGUCCCGUUGUUGCGCUUGAUGUUCCUGAUACAGGUAAGGAAAUAGUUUGUCAUUUCUGCUAUGAAUACAUAGAGAGAGUUCAGUAUUGUCUCUGUUAGAUUUGUUUUUAUUACAUUGACAGCAUUCAACCAGCGUUCCCCAUUGUGUAAAUAAACCAAUUUGCUGAAUAAAGUGAAAGUCUUAAAUUCAUGUGUUUAAGUAAAUUUUUUUAGUACACUUCUAUAAACAGCUAUAAGAGUGACAAUUCACAAUAUUAAAUUCAAGACUAUAGUGAUAUUUUUUUAAAUUUUGCUUUAAACUAUUGUGGCUUCUACUUAUAAUGCAAAAUCACACACAGUAAAAAAUCCCUGCAGUUGUGAAUGUUAUUGAUGGCUGCUGCUGUUUUUAUGAACGUUGGUUUUUAUUCUGACAGAGACUUAUUUCAGCUGUAGUAUCAUGUUUAAACGGCUGUUUGGCUUACUGCAUCCAGACCGAUACUUCCGAUAUCUAAACCCCUUUAGUUCACCUCAUAAUAUAAUAUAUUGUAUAAGUCAAGGUCGUUAGCACAUAAUGAAUCUGAUGGAUCCUAAAGGAUUUAAAAAUUGAAGUUUUUUUCUCCCAAAGGACUGGACUGGCUAGUAUAUUUGAACUGAAAAACAGAAAGUGAGAUUCUGUCUAAAUAUAUUGUUUUAGCCAGAAAACAACUGUUACACAGAUCUUGAAUAUUAUCCAUUUAUAUAUACAGGUUUUAUUUUGAAAAAUGAAACUACAGAUUGAAAACUAUAUAUAUAUAUAAAGUCCCCAUUUUUGUAUGUAAUUCCUCUACCAAAAUCUAGAUUACUAUAGCUUGUCCAGUUCUAAAACUUUCUUUUUACUGUUAGCGUGCAACAUCUGUAGUAACCAUAAAAUUACAGUUACCAGUAGUCGCCUGAGCAUUUGAAUGCCACUGGACAAAGUUGGAAAUAAUUCCUGAUAUUCCCAAAGGGUCUGUUUCGGUAGAUUUAGCAAAUUAAAUGUGGGAGCAAGUUGAAUGUGCCACUGAAAGCAGUAUUCAAUGAGCUUUGUCUGAAACCGGGGCCUGGGGGCAGACUGAUGUGUAUCGCCUUGUCCAGUAUGUCAAGAAAAUGUGAAGAUGGUAAAAUACCUACACUGCUACUGUACUUAAAUUUGUCUAUAUAUUGUAUGACAGAAGAAGGUUGAAAGUUGCUUAAUGCAUAAAAACAAAAGCUGAAGCCAAAUAAAUUAUGUACCUGACCUGUUGGGCAGGAGCAGGCUGUAUUUAAAGAUCAACUGAUACCUGUAUUUCUAAAGCAGAAAACAUCCCCUGUUCCCUUAUGAGAAACAAGCUAUUAAAAGUCAAUACUCAAAACAGA